RNAcentral lists this transfer RNA (63 nucleotides) under Zele chlorophthalmus. RNAcentral's name for it is "tRNA-Ala". The record is from RNAcentral. Lineage: Eukaryota; Metazoa; Arthropoda; Insecta; Hymenoptera; Braconidae.
AGAAUAAUAGUUUAUUAAAACAUUUAAUUUGCAUUUAAAAAAUAUUAAUUUUAAUUUAUUUUA